Homo sapiens (human) is the source of this 722-nucleotide long non-coding RNA. Ensembl annotates it as CCDC26 long non-coding RNA. Its record names the gene CCDC26. Lineage: Eukaryota; Metazoa; Chordata; Mammalia; Primates; Hominidae. The record is from Ensembl.
ACUGGGCUUAGAGUCACAUAAGAGACAGAGCAAGUAAAAUAUUACGCUACAGUGCUACUGGCCCAUAAUCAGGCAACUGCAGAGUCUUAGGGGGUUAUCUAAUGUAGUCUUGGGGUGGCUGGAUAGACUUCCCAAAGAAGGUGAUGCCGAAGCUGAGGUCGGAAAUUACGAAGAUCAGCUAUGGCGUCUCAGGGUCUUGACCACCUCAAGCCAGGUGAGACACCUUACAGGAUGUCUCCUAAGCUGAUCAGUCUAUGAACAUUUAGUGACCUACAGAAUCUCCCUGUGACAUCUGUUCACUGGGCAACAGCAGCUCACAGCAAACUUGGAAAUCAUGUCUUAGAGAUCAAGGAGCCAAGAGAUGAGACAAGCCUGGGUUCCUAGGUGAUAGGGUGUGGCUGUGUCCCCACCCAAAUCUCGUCUUGAAUUGUAGCUCCCAUAAUCCCCACAUGUUGUGGAGGGACCCUGUGGAAGGAAGGCCUGAGGAGAGAAGACACAUAGUCAUGCUGACUAAACCAGAUCACCUAGAAUUACCAAAUGGAAAGAUUGUGCCUGCAGCCUGGCCUGUUGCCCACAGCGGUCUACCUGCCACACUGGGAAAGAUCGAGCAGAGACAGAGAAGAAAAGGAGGCUCCAUUUUUCAGGCUGCUCUCCCGCAGGCUCAUGUUUUGUGUUCAUGCCAGGCAGAGAACACAAAAUGUUCCAAUAAAUAAGUAUCAAAG